RNAcentral lists this ribosomal RNA (450 nucleotides) under uncultured Thermus sp. RNAcentral describes it as "bacterial SSU rRNA". It matches the Rfam family "Bacterial small subunit ribosomal RNA", at positions 934 to 1382 of the family's 1533-position model. The record is from RNAcentral. Lineage: Bacteria; Thermotogati; Deinococcota; Deinococci; Thermales; Thermaceae.
GGAGCAUGUGGUUUAAUCGAAGCAACGCGAAGAACCUUACCAGGUCUUGACAUCCGAUGCUAUUUUCUAGAGAUAGAAAGUUACUUCGGUACAUCGGUGACAGGUGGUGCAUGGUUGUCGUCAGCUCGUGUCGUGAGGUGUUGGGUUAAGUCCCGCAACGAGCGCAACCCCCGCCGUUAGUUGCCAGCGGUUCGGCCGGGCACUCUAACGGGACUGCCCCGCGAAAAGCGGGGAGGAAGGAGGGGACGACGUCUGGUCAGCAUGGCCCUUACGGCCUGGGCGACACACGUGCUACAAUGCCCACUACAAAGCGAGGCCACCCGGCAACGGGGAGCUAAUCGCAAAAAGGUGGGCCCAGUUCGGAUUGGGGUCUGCAACCCGACCCCAUGAAGCCGGAAUCGCUAGUAAUCGCGGAUCAGCCAUGCCGCGGUGAAUACGUUCCCGGGCCUU